RNAcentral lists this transfer RNA (90 nucleotides) under Chloroflexota bacterium. RNAcentral's name for it is "Chloroflexi bacterium (groundwater metagenome) tRNA-Ser". It matches the Rfam family "tRNA". From Rfam's summary of the family: Transfer RNA (tRNA) molecules are approximately 80 nucleotides in length. Their secondary structure includes four short double-helical elements and three loops (D, anti-codon, and T loops). The record is from RNAcentral. Lineage: Bacteria; Bacillati; Chloroflexota.
GGAGAGGUGGCCGAGAGGCUUAUGGCGCCGCUCUCGAAAAGCGGAACCCGAGAAAUUGGGUCGUGGGUUCAAAUCCCACCCUCUCCGCCA